Molecule: ribosomal RNA, 253 nt
Filed under: uncultured bacterium
Lineage: Bacteria
Description: partial 16S ribosomal RNA
Rfam family: Bacterial small subunit ribosomal RNA
Source: RNAcentral
UACGGAGGGUGCAAGCGUUGCUCGGAAUUACUGGGCGUAAAGCGCACGUAGGCGGCUUUGCAAGUCAGAGGUGAAAGCCCGGGGCUCAACCCCGGAAUUGCCUUUGAGACUGCAUCGCUAGAAUUGUGGAGAGGUAAGUGGAAUUCCGAGUGUAGAGGUGAAAUUCGUAGAUAUUCGGAAGAACACCAGUGGCGAAGGCGACUUUCUGGCCUAUAACUGACGCUGAGGCGCGAAAGCGUGGGGAGCAAACAGG